Molecule: ribosomal RNA, 2904 nt
Filed under: Anaerobutyricum hallii
Lineage: Bacteria; Bacillati; Bacillota; Clostridia; Lachnospirales; Lachnospiraceae
Description: [Eubacterium] hallii 23S ribosomal RNA
Rfam family: Bacterial large subunit ribosomal RNA
Source: RNAcentral
AGGUCAAGCGAAGAAGGGCGCAGGGCGGAUGCCUUGGCACUGAGAGCCGAUGAAAGACGUGAUAAGCUGCGAUAAGCUUCGGGGAGGAGCAAAUAUCCUUUGAUCCGGAGAUCUCUGAAUGGGGAAACCCGGCUGUAUGGACUACAGUCAUCCAUAAGUGAAUCCAUAGCUUAUGGAAGGGAACCCGGGGAACUGAAACAUCUAAGUACCCGGAGGAAGAGAAAGAAACAUUCGAUUCCGUAAGUAGCGGCGAGCGAACGCGGAAGAGCCCAAACCGUGAUGCGUGCAUCGCGGGGUUCGGACUGCAUAAGGGAUUCAGUAACGGCAGGAGAACGGCUUUGGAACAGCCGGCCAGAGAGGGUGAGAGCCCCGUAUCCGAAGCCAGAGCUGACCUGGCAGGAUCCAGAGUACCACGGGACACGGGAAACCCUGUGGGAACGAGCGGAGACCACUCCGUAAGGCUAAAUACUACUCAGUGACCGAUAGCGUAUAGUACUGUGAAGGAAAGGUGAAAAGAACCCCGGGAGGGGAGUGAAAGAGAACCUGAAACCCUGUGUCUACAAGCUGUGGAAGUGCUUCUUAUGCACGACCGCGUACUUUUUGUAGAACGGUCCGGCGAGCUGCGGGUACUGGCAAGGUUAAGCACUUCAGGUGCGGAGCCGCAGGGAAACCAAGUCUUAAGAGGGCGUUUUAGUCAGUACGUGCAGGCCCGAAACCGGGUGACCUAUCCAUGUCCAGGUUGAAGCCGCCGUAAAAGGCGAUGGAGGACCGAACCCACAUCCGUUGAAAAGGGUGGGGAUGAGGUGUGGAUAGCGGAGAAAUUCCAAUCGAACCCGGAGAUAGCUGGUUCUCCUCGAAAUAGCUUUAGGGCUAGCCUCAUACAAGUCUGCCGGAGGUAGAGCACUGAAUUUCCGCGGGGGCGUCAAAGCCUACCAAAGAAUAUCAAACUCCGAAUGCCGGACAGAUGGUGUAUGGGAGUCAGACUGUACGAGAUAAGUUGGACAGUCAAAAGGGAAAGAGCCCAGACCGCCGGCUAAGGUCCCAAAGUGGGUGUUAAGUGGAAAAGGAUGUGGGAUCUCUAAGACAACCAGGAUGUUGGCUCAGAAGCAGCCAUUCAUUAAAAGAGUGCGUAACAGCUCACUGGUCGAGAGGUCCUGCGCCGAAAAUGUCCGGGGCUGAAACACCACACCGAAGCCGCGGAACCCGUAAGGGUUGGUAGAGGAGCAUUCUUAGGGGAGUGAAGCAUUACCGGAAGGGGAUGUGGACUGCUAAGAAGAGAGAAUGCCGGAAUGAGUAGCGAGAGCAAGGUGAGAAUCCUUGCGGCCGAAUAUCCAAGGUUUCCAGAGUAAAGCUGAUCUGCUCUGGGUAAGUCGGGGCCUAAGGAGAGGCAGAGAUGCGUAUCCGAUGGACAGCAGGUUUAAGAUUCCUGCACCCCUUGUUAUCAGAACUGCGGGGACACGGGAAGGGAAGCAGAGCCGGGAAUGGAAAGCCCGGUGCAAGCGAAGUAGUCGCAGGGUUGGAAAAUCCGCCCUGCAUGAGACGAAGGCGUGAUGCGGAGCGAAAUGAAGUAGUGAAGCUGCGGCCCCUUCCUGUCGAGAAAAGCCGCUAUCGUGUAGCAAGGGCCCGUACCGUAAACCGACACAGGUGGAUGAGGAGAGGAUCCUAAGGCCGGCGGGAGAAGUGUUGUUAAGGAACUCGGCAAAAUGACUCCGUAACUUCGGGAGAAGGAGUGCUGCGCAAGCAGCCGCAGAGAAAUGGCCCAAGCAACUGUUUAGCAAAAACACAGGUCUAUGCGAAACCGGAAGGUGAGGUAUAUGGGCUGACGCCUGCCCGGUGCUGGAAGGUUAAGGGGAGAGCUUAGCGCAAGCGAAGGUUUGAACUUAAGCCCCAGUAAACGGCGGCCGUAACUAUAACGGUCCUAAGGUAGCGAAAUUCCUUGUCGGGUAAGUUCCGACCCGCACGAAAGGCGUAAUGAUUUGGGCACUGUCUCAACAACACACCCGGUGAAAUUGAAAUACCAGUGAAGAUGCUGGUUACCCGCGCCAGGACGGAAAGACCCCAUGGAGCUUUACUCCAGCCUGAUACUGGGAUUCGGUAUUGCAUGUACAGGAUAGGUGGGAGGCUAAGAACUCAUGGCGCCAGCCGUGAGGGAGCCGGUGUUGGGAUACCACCCCUGCAGUACUGGGUUUCUAACCUGCGCCCGUGACCCGGGCGGGGGACAAUGUCAGGCGGGGAGUUUGACUGGGGCGGUCGCCUCCGAAAGGGUAUCGGAGGCGCUCAAAGGUCUCCUCAGGAUGGUUGGAAACCAUCCAGAGAGUGCAAAGGCAGAAGGAGGCUUGACUGCGACACCGACGGGUGGAGCAGGUACGAAAGUAGGACUUAGUGAUCCGGUGGCAUAAAGUGGGAUUGCCAUCGCUCAACGGAUAAAAGCUACCCUGGGGAUAACAGGCUUAUCACUCCCAAGAGUUCACAUCGACGGAGUGGUUUGGCACCUCGAUGUCGGCUCAUCGCAUCCUGGAGCUGGAGCAGGUUCCAAGGGUUGGGCUGUUCGCCCAUUAAAGCGGUACGCGAGCUGGGUUCAGAACGUCGUGAGACAGUUCGGUCCCUAUCCGGCGCGGGCGCAGGAUAUCUGAGAGGAGCUGUCCUUAGUACGAGAGGACCGGGAUGGACCGUCCGCUGGUGGACCGGUUGUCAUGCCAAUGGCACGGCCGGGUAGCCAAGACGGGAAGGGAUAAACGCUGAAGGCAUCUAAGCGUGAAGCCCCCCUCAAGAUGAGAUAUCCAUACUCGAAAGAGUGAGAGACCCCUUAGAGACGAUGAGGUAGAUAGGGCAGAGAUGGAAGUAUGGAAGCACAGCGAUGUGUGGAGUUGACUGUUACUAAUCGGUCGAAAGCUUGACCUUAGU